This 715-nucleotide ribosomal RNA is filed under the name uncultured bacterium. RNAcentral describes it as "bacterial SSU rRNA". It matches the Rfam family "Bacterial small subunit ribosomal RNA", at positions 8 to 713 of the family's 1533-position model. The record is from RNAcentral.
AGAGUUUGAUCCUGGCUCAGAAUCAACGCUGGCGGCGUGCCUAACACAUGCAAGUCGAACGAGAAAGCGGGGGCAACUCCGUGAGUAUAGUGGCGAACGGGUGAGUAACACGUAGCUAACCUACCCUCGAGUGGGGGAUAACCUGGGGAAACCUGGGCUAAUACCGCAUAACAUCCCGAUGACUUAAGUCAAUGGGAGCAAAGGCCCGCAAAGGUCGCUUGUGGAGGGGGCUGCGGCCGAUUAGCUAGUUGGUAGGGUAACGGCCUACCAAGGCGAUGAUCGGUAGCCGGCCUGAGAGGGCGCACGGUCACACUGGCACUGAAACACGGGCCAGACUCCUACGGGAGGCAGCAGUGGGGAAUUUUGCACAAUGCCCGAAAGGGUGAUGCAGCAACGCUGCGUGAGGGAUGAAGGCCUUCGGGUCGUAAACCUCUUUCGAUCGGGAAAAACGGCCCUGUGAAGAGCGGGGUCUGAUGGUACCGGUGGAAGAAGCCCCGGCUAACUACGUGCCAGCAGCCGCGGUAAUACGUAGGGGGCGAGCGUUGUUCGGAAUUACUGGGCGUAAAGGGCGUGUAGGCGGUGCGGUAAGUUGGGCGUGAAAUCCCCGGGCUUAACCCGGGGGGGCCGUUCAAAACUGCCGUGCUAGGGUAUGGGAGAGGGUAGCGGAAUUCCCGGUGUAGCCGUGAAAUGCGUANAUAUCGGGANGAACACCUGC